CUUGGAAUAGUCCAUUGCCCAUGUCCUUGGAAUGUAAUGAAUAUGCAUACAUUAGGCCUUUAAAUAUGUAGUUGCUGCUUCUCUCAGUGUGCAUGUUCAGUGGGAGCGACUCCCAUGCACCCAGUGCUGUAAUAAAGGGAAUACCUGCUUGACAUAACCCAUUGGCAUAUCAAGUUACUCGUUUUCUCAGCUUCAACAUGGACCUAGAAGUAUCUUCCAAAGAAUACCCCGCAAGUCAUCUGCGAGACUUUUUCCCUCUCACACAAUGUUAAAAAGCAACUUGAAAAAAAAUUUGGCUGCAAGUGUUGUUCAGUUGCAUCAGUGCCACUAUGACUUCUCCUCUUCAUGUGAAUAGAAAUCAUACUCCCUCCUGUACCCCAGGAAAUUCUAUGUACUCCAGUAGCAGCUACAAGAUGCAAGAAGAAAAGGAAGAUUUGUUUGAAUGUGCUAACUGCUCUCAAAGCCUUGGAUUUCAAAAUGUUACGAACAAACUGUAGAGAGAAUGCUGAGCAUUUAAUGAGCUACUGAAGGGAUCCAUACCAAACCAACUCUUACUUCAAGGCUGCUUCGAUCCACUCCAGGAGAAAACAUGUGAAUACAAGGACAGGAAUUAAGCUGCGGUUUGCGCUGUCUGACAAUCUCUGCCUCAACCUCAUUCCUGUCUCAAGUACUUCUCCUGAUUGCCAUGAUGAAUCAAGGUUUACUAAGAGAAGCCUUGUAAUGAGGUCAGCCUGCUUCCUCAGCAUAGGUGGCAAAAUCCCAUCAGGGGGAGAAAGAGUUCUGUCACACUUGAAACCACAAGAGUUCUAUUCCCCUCUCUUUGGGUCCUGAAUUUCACCACUUUCUGAACACAGCAGUCAAAUGUGCCUUUGACCUUCACAUGGAAAGGUAUUGGAACAGGUUACCCAGAGAUGCUGUGGGUUCUCCAUCUCUGGGGGCAUUCAGGGCUAGGUUGGAUGGGGCUCUGGGCAGGCCUGAUCAGGUGGGUGGCAGCUUUGCCCAUAGCAGGGAUGGGGUGGAACUGGAUAAUCUUUAAGGUUGCUUCUAGUCUAAGGCAUGCUGUGAUUCUUUUUGAUUCCACUAUCAGUGAGUCCCUUCUUCUUGUUCCAGCAGAGCACUUCUCCUUGUUGGCUUCUUUUUCAAUUGGACUAGGAAGCUAUUUUCAGCACUACCCAGCUUCAUCGUUUAUGGAUGUGUUUUUUUUUUUAUUCUCCAGAAAACAUCAUAAUGGUUGAACUCCCUCAUGAAUACUAGAGUCUGCGAAUGUGAUGCUGCUUCUAUCUGUUUUUAGAAGGCCUUGAACAAUUUUUCUUCCUACUCAUUUUUUCUUCAGCCUAAUAUCUAGAGAUUUUCAAGUUUGUAUCUUCCAGAUUUGUCAAUCAUUCAACUUCUCAUUGAUAAGUUUUGAAAUAAAGAUGCCUUAAGGGACUUGUUUUACCCUUAUAUAACAGGAAUUUUGUAUCUGUUUUAAUGUCUCAUUUGUCAGAACCAAUGCUGUGUUGUUUGUAACUCACUGGUAUGAUCAGUCUGACUUAGAUUAAACACUAUCUAGGCAAUUUCAUCCUUAUCUUUGUGUUGCAAUAGUCUCAACUUUGGAAUUCUUUCACAAGAUAGAUAAUUUUCUGACUAAGCAUUUUGUUCAUCCUAAAAGGUUGUGCAAGUGACAUAGAAGAAACUUAAAAUGUCAGCUUAGUGUAUUACCUAGAUAUACCUUAUUUGGUAAUUUAUUAUUCCCUUUCUGAACUGAUCCCAAAUUUGUGUGAAAGUAACUGUAAAUGGUUUAGAUAAGAUUGCUCUAAACAUUGUGCAAGGCCCCAGGGUUGCUUAGAGGUUCAAAAGCCACCAUAUUUCAGACCUCUGUCCCUGCUUUGCAUCUUCUCUUCUUGGAGACUUGUAAUUACUUCCACUUGGUACUUAAAUGAUGAUCUGCUGGCUGUUUUGGUUAAAGAGCUAAUCCAGUGUGUCCAGUUAGUCAAAUCCCUCUUGACAGGCAGAGGUUUGAUUUUUUUCUGAGUACUGUUUCUUGAGCUUCUCCACUGGAGUGCUGCCAUAAGCACCCUGUGAAAGAACUCCUAUUCAAGCAUGCUGACUUGACUUGGCAGCUGUAUAACUUUCUGGAACUUCAGUCAUAAUCCUCAGAUGAGAUCUUAUGUUAAUCAAUGAUAAGAAGAAAAUGUGAACAUUUCUAAAUGUAGCAAAAUGUCUUCAUGUCCCUCUGAGGCAUUCUGUGUUUUCUUAAUCCAGUGGGCCUGACUCAUAUCAAUCAAGAGGCUGAAAGUCAGUUUUUCUAACAGUAUUUACAAAUGUUUUUCCUUCCCAAGUCUUACAUAGAAUUUUAUUUUCAAUCUAGAAAAAAAAUCUUGAUUAGACCUGUGACUCAUAAUGAAAAUAUUUCCAGUGGUUAAGCAGUAUGCCAGAAGCACUUGGUUCUGCUCUGUGUCUUCUCCUUAAAAAUCCUUUCUUUGAGAAGGAGAAACAAGCAUCAGAUAUCUCUCUUCUCCUAGGUACUUCUUCCAGAACAGUACAGGUAUGUUUCACUCACAUUCUUAGGAAGAGGAUCCAAACAGAUCUGUUGUGCCUAAUAUAUGCAAAGAAGUACUUCAGGAGACGCAAGGUGUCAAACCAAUGUGUACCAGCUGUGCUCUUAAAUUUUCCAUGCAUAUGCUGACCAGCUCAUUCAGGAUACUUUUCUAUGUACAAUUUUUAUAUAUGUGUUCUCUACUUGUCUGAAAGGAAUGAAUACGAGCAUUACAGAUCUAUCGUUACAAACCAGGAGAAGAAAUGACAGACUGGGAGAAGAAGACAUGGACUUAACAGGUCCAGGUAGAUGAAAGACUUAACAUGAGCCAGCAGUGUGUGCUUGCAGCCCAUAGGCCAACUGUAUCUUGGGCUACAUUAAAAGAUGGGUGGCCAGCAUAGUGACAGAGAGUAUUGUUCCCCUCUACUCUGCCCUUGUGGCGCCCCAUCUUGAGUACUGCAGACAGUCUGGGGGCUCCAGCACAGGAAAGAUGUGAAACUUUUGGAGAGGGUCCAGAGGAGGGCCACCAGGAUCAUCAGAGGGCUGGACCACCUCUCCUAUGAAGGCAGGCUGAGGGAGCUGGGCAUGUCCUCAUUGAGGACUUCCAAUAUUUAAAGGGAGACCACAGACAGGAGGAAAAUCAACUUUUGAUGCUGGUAGAUAGUGAUAAGACAAGGGAAAAUGAUUUUAAAUCAAAGGAGGAGGGAUUUAGUUUACAUAUCAGGGGGAAGUUUUUCACUGAGAAGGUAGUGAGUUGUCUCUCAGGUUGCCCAGAGAGGUGGUGGAUAACCUGUCCCUGUUAUGAAAUAGCAAGCAACAUAAUGUUUUCUGUAGCUAGAGAAAACAUAGUGAAUACUCCCUUGUUAGUGACUUUAUAAUAAUGAGCAAGCUGGCAGAUCAUAUGUGAUCCCUACUUCAUAAUAUGUAGCUAUAACUAAGCCAAAUUCCUAGGUAUACCAUGGAAGACAAGACAAUGGACAACUUUUAAAGAGAAAUUAUUCAGUGUUCAGCUCAUUGCAAUUCAGAGUGAAACUUAACAUCAUAACUCUACUAUAUGGCAAAGUAAUGGUUGUGACACAAAGGGAAUGAUUUACUGAGAGAUAUUAAAAAGCUCUUCUCUUUU
This is a long non-coding RNA of Gallus gallus (chicken), 3641 nucleotides long. The record is from Ensembl. NCBI's taxonomy places the organism in Eukaryota, Metazoa, Chordata, Aves, Galliformes, Phasianidae.